GGAGUGAUAUAUGUAUAGGGGUAAGGUGACAGGGAUACUGGAGUGAUAUAUGUAUAGGGGUAAGGUGACAGGGAUACUGGAGUGAUGGAUGUAGAUAUGAAUAGAGGUAAGGAGACAAGGAUACUGGAGUGAUGGAGGUAGAUAUGUAUAGGGGUAAGGAGACAAGGAUACUGGAGUGAUGGAGGUAGAUAUGUAUAGGGGUAAGGAGACAAGGAUACUGGAGUGAUGGAGGUAGAUAUGUAUAGGGGUAAGGUGACAGGGAUACUGGAGUGAUAUAUGUAUAGGGGUAAGGUGACAGGGAU
Oncorhynchus tshawytscha (Chinook salmon) is the source of this 302-nucleotide long non-coding RNA. Lineage: Eukaryota; Metazoa; Chordata; Actinopteri; Salmoniformes; Salmonidae. The record is from Ensembl.